UCGAGAAUCUUCGGCAAUGGACGCAAGUCUGACCGAGCGACGUCGCGUGGAGGAUGAAGGCCCUCGGGUUGUAAACUCCUGUUGUGGGGGAGCAUAAUGAGCGAACCCAUGAGGAAGCACGGGCUAAGUUCGUGCCAGCAGCCGCGGUAAUACGAACCGUGCAAACGUUAUUCGGAAUCAUUGGGCUUAAAGAGCACGUAGGCGGCAUCGUAAGUUGGAGGUGAAAUCCCAUCGGCUCAACCGUGGAACGGCCUUCAAUACUGCGAAGCUAGAGUGAGGCAGGGGUCCGUGGAACUUCCGGUGGAGCGGUGAAAUGUGUUGAUAUCGGAAGGAACGCCGGCGGCGAAAGCGACGGACUGGGACUCAACUGACGCUGAGGUGCGAAAGCUAGGGUAGCGAACGGGAUUAGAUACCCCCGUAGUCC
This 424-nucleotide ribosomal RNA is filed under the name uncultured prokaryote. Its description in RNAcentral is "bacterial SSU rRNA". It matches the Rfam family "Bacterial small subunit ribosomal RNA", at positions 355 to 796 of the family's 1533-position model. The record is from RNAcentral.